GCUGACACAUGUUUUGCAUUUUUAUCUUUUCUGCCAUGCAUAUUGGCAGAAGACUCUCUCUCUCUCUCUUCAAUCCUCCUAAACUUUUUGAGCAUAGAUGCAGUUAGGAAUAAUUUCUUGUGCUUCAGGCAUGAGCAAAGUGAUUUUCCAUGGUCCUGAAAUACUUCACCAUCUGAAGCUGUGGAAGCAUACCUGUCUAAGGCUCAGCUGGUGAAUAAAGAUAAUUAAGUACGAUUUUGCUCUUCUCCUCAGGUUUUUCAGGGUUAGGCACCCGAAGCAUGCUGUAUAUUAAAGCUGCGGCCAAAGCUCCAAGGAUAGGGGACACGAUAAAGACCCAAAGAUUCUUGUAAACACCUGAGACAAUUGCAGGGCCUAAGCUUCUUGCAGGGUUCAUUGAAGCUCCAGUGAUCGGUCUGCAGAAUUUGAGGAAUAAAGGAAUCCAAGCUUAAGAAUAUUUACAAGUGGUGGUAAGUAAUGAUGAAGUGCUGGAAUAGAGCACAGUUUAAAGCAGUGAUUAGUGAGGGAGUGAGUUUAUU
RNAcentral lists this unclassified non-coding RNA (536 nucleotides) under Hevea brasiliensis (rubber tree). The record is from RNAcentral. Lineage: Eukaryota; Viridiplantae; Streptophyta; Magnoliopsida; Malpighiales; Euphorbiaceae.